AACGAACGCUGGCGGCAGGCCUAACACAUGCAAGUCGAGCGAGGACUUCGGUUCUACCUGCGCACGGGUGAGUAACGCGUCGGACUGUGCCCUUCUCUACGGAAUACCCCUGUGAAACUGGGAGUAAUACCGUAUAACCCCUUCUGAUACAACAUUUCACCGAGAAGUAGCAGCACGAGUUGUUCUAGCUAGUGGGUGUGGUAUUGGCCUACGAAGGGUAGGCUCCAUAGCGGGUUUGAGAGGAAGGUCAGCCACACUGGGACUGAGACACGGCCCAGAAUCCUACGGGAGGCAGCAGUGGGGAAUCUUAGACAAUGGGGGCAAUCCUGAACGAGCCAUGCCGCGUGAGUGAUGAAGGCCUUAGAGUUGUAAAGCUCUUUCAGCUGGGAAGAUAAUGACGGUACCAGCAGAAGAAGCCCCGGCUAACUCCGUG
This 433-nucleotide ribosomal RNA is filed under the name uncultured bacterium. Its description in RNAcentral is "partial 16S ribosomal RNA". It matches the Rfam family "Bacterial small subunit ribosomal RNA", at positions 29 to 507 of the family's 1533-position model. The record is from RNAcentral.